CCUACGGGGGGCAGCAGUGGGGGAUCUUGGACAAUGGGGGGAACCCUGAUCCAGCGACGCCGCGUGAGUGAAGAAGUAUCUCGGUGUGUAAAGCUCUAUCAGCAGGGAAGAAGAAAUGACGGUACCUGAGUAAGAAGCCCCGGCUAACUACGUGCCAGCAGCCGCGGUAAUACGUAGGGGGCAAGCGUUAUCCGGAAUUAUUGGGUGUAAAGGGAGCGUAGACGGGGUGUUAAGUCUGGAGUGAAAGGUGGGGGCUCAACCCCCGGACUGCAUUGGAAACUAUGUGACUGGAGUGCAGGUGAGGUGGGCGGAAUUCGUGGUGUAGCGGUGAAAUGCGUAGAUAUCACGAGGAACCCCAGUGGCGAAGGCAGCUUACUGGACUGUAACUGACAUUGAUGCUCGAAAGUGUGGGGAGCAAACAGGAUUAGAUACCCUAGUAGUC
RNAcentral lists this ribosomal RNA (442 nucleotides) under uncultured bacterium. Its description in RNAcentral is "partial 16S ribosomal RNA". It matches the Rfam family "Bacterial small subunit ribosomal RNA", at positions 338 to 795 of the family's 1533-position model. The record is from RNAcentral.